Molecule: long non-coding RNA, 484 nt
Organism: Camellia sinensis
Lineage: Eukaryota; Viridiplantae; Streptophyta; Magnoliopsida; Ericales; Theaceae
Source: RefSeq, a predicted model, not a curated record
GAAAAGAGAGAGAGAGAGAUAGCGAGAGAGAGAAAGAGAGUUUUGUGUUGAUGGGUUUGAACGAAAUUCAAGAAAUUGAAGACAAAGGAGGAAACUCAAAGCUUGACCAAGAGAUUCAACAAAUUGAAGAUUUUAGGUGGACAUCCGAGGCCUUACAUCGACUUAACACGCUGUGAGUAAACUAAGCAACAAGGAUAGAGAAAGCCUCGGAGUCUACCCCUGUCAGCCUUUUGAAGAGCUUCCGGAAUGGAGCAAGUUAGGCUCGAGUAGAGCCAAGAAAAUCCGCCCCUUAGCUUUGCCAGAGUUUUGUAUUUUGCUAAGUCUUAACGUAUAUGUGUGUGAGAUAUAUAAGAUAUGUGUAUAAAUUAUUAUUGUGUUUUAAUGUUUUAAUUAUUUUAGUCAUCAUGUAUGCACAAGCUCGAUGGACAUUGUUAUUUUUUUUGUUUUGCUUCCGCUUAAGGCCCCGAUAUAAUUAAAAUAUUUU